UGAGGAAUAUUGGACAAUGGGGGCAACCCUGAUCCAGCCAUGCCGCGUGAGUGAUGAAGGCCUUCGGGUUGUAAAACUCUUUUAGAUGUGACGAUGAUGACGGUAACAUCAGAAAAAGCUCCGGCUAACUUCGUGCCAGCAGCCGCGGUAAUACGAAGGGAGCGAGCGUUGUUCGGAAUUACUGGGCUUAAAGCGUGCGUAGGCGGAUGUGUAAGUCAGGAGUGAAAUCCCGGGGCUUAACCCCGGAACUGCUCUUGAGACUGCAUGUCUUGAAUUCGGUAGAGGUUGGUGGAAUAUCCAGUGUAGAGGUGAAAUUCGCAGAUAUUGGAUGGAACACCGGUGGCGAAGGCGACCAACUGGGCCGACAUUGACGCUGAGGCACGAAAGCGUGGGUAGCAAACAGGAUUAGAUACCCCCGUAGUCC
This 424-nucleotide ribosomal RNA is filed under the name uncultured bacterium. Its description in RNAcentral is "bacterial SSU rRNA". It matches the Rfam family "Bacterial small subunit ribosomal RNA", at positions 355 to 796 of the family's 1533-position model. The record is from RNAcentral.